This is a non-coding RNA of Pelobates cultripes (western spadefoot toad), 518 nucleotides long. The record is from the annotation of a GenBank genome assembly. Lineage: Eukaryota; Metazoa; Chordata; Amphibia; Anura; Pelobatidae.
CAAACACACACAUAUACUGACAGACAUAUUGACACACACACAGGCAUACUGACAUGCUGACACAUACACUGACAGACAUAUUGACACACACAUUAUUAUUAUGAUAUUUAUAUAGCGCCAUCAAAUUCUGCAGCGCUUUACAAUGGGUGGACGAACAGACAUGUAGUUGUAACCAGACAAGUUGGACACACAGGAACAGAGGGGUAGAGGGCCCUGCUCAAUGAGUUUAUAUGCUAGAGUGAGUGGGGUAAAAUGACACAAAAAGGUAAGGAUAGUAUUUUGUUAUUACGGUUGCGUCCGGUCUUGCGGGAAGUUGGACCGCUUAGAUGUUCUGGUUCCCGAACUUGAAGAGUCGAACGCUGCUUCAAUCGGCAAAAACCUGUAAGUGUAGAACAUCCCACUAGCUAUAGCAGAGCUAGGAUUCACGGUUCCCUACAACACGAGUCGAGGCUGCGAGUUGAGGGUAAAACGAACCGAGCACACGGGCAUCGCUAUUUAUGCAAAACCCCAGGUCCAGG